This 407-nucleotide ribosomal RNA is filed under the name uncultured bacterium. RNAcentral's name for it is "partial 16S ribosomal RNA". It matches the Rfam family "Bacterial small subunit ribosomal RNA", at positions 30 to 526 of the family's 1533-position model. The record is from RNAcentral.
AUUGAACGCUGGCGGCAGGCCUAACACAUGCAAGUCGAGCGGCGCAGCGGACGGGUGAGUAAUGCCUAGGAAUCUGACUGGUAGUGGGGGAUAAGGUCCGGAAACGGGCGCUAAUACCACAUACUCUUAGCUGCACCUAGGUCGGAUUAGCUAGUUGGUGGGGUAAAGGCCUACCAAGGCGACGAUCCGUAACUGGUCUGAGAGGAUGAUCAGUCACACUGGAACUGAGACACGGUCCAGACUCCUACGGGAGGCAGCAGUGGGGAAUAUUGGACAAUGGGCGAAAGCCUGAUCCAGCCAUGCCGCGUGUGUGAAGAAGGUCUUCGGAUUGUAAAGCACUUUAAGUUGGGAGGCGUUACCAACAGAAGAAGCACCGGCUAACUUCGUGCCAGCAGCCGCGGUAAUUC